RNAcentral lists this ribosomal RNA (1556 nucleotides) under Listeria innocua. RNAcentral describes it as "partial 23S ribosomal RNA". It matches the Rfam family "Bacterial large subunit ribosomal RNA", at positions 1 to 1549 of the family's 2925-position model. Lineage: Bacteria; Bacillati; Bacillota; Bacilli; Caryophanales; Listeriaceae. The record is from RNAcentral.
UUGGUUAAGUUAGAAAGGGCGCACGGUGGAUGCCUUGGCACUAGGAGCCGAAGAAGGACGGGACUAACACCGAUAUGCUUUGGGGAGCUGUACGUAAGCGUUGAUCCAGAGAUUUCCGAAUGGGGGAACCCACUAUCUUUAGUCGGAUAGUAUCCUUACGUGAAUACAUAGCGUGAGGAAGGCAGACCCAGGGAACUGAAACAUCUAAGUACCUGGAGGAAGAGAAAGAAAAAUCGAUUUCCUGAGUAGCGGCGAGCGAAACGGAAAGAGCCCAAACCAAGAAGCUUGCUUCUUGGGGUUGUAGGACACUCUAUACGGAGUUACAAAAGAAAGUUAUAAAUGAAGCGGUCUGGAAAGGCCCGCCAAAGACGGUAACAGCCCGGUAGUUGAAAUGGCUUUCCCUCCAGAGUGGAUCCUGAGUACGGCGGAACACGUGAAAUUCCGUCGGAAUCCGGGAGGACCAUCUCCCAAGGCUAAAUACUCCCUAGUGACCGAUAGUGAACCAGUACCGUGAGGGAAAGGUGAAAAGCACCCCGGAAGGGGAGUGAAACAGUUCCUGAAACCGUGUGCCUACAAGUAGUUAGAGCCCGUUAAUGGGUGAUAGCGUGCCUUUUGUAGAAUGAACCGGCGAGUUACGAUUUGUUGCAAGGUUAAGCGGAAAAAGCGGAGCCGUAGCGAAAGCGAGUCUGAAUAGGGCGCAUAAGUAACAGGUCGUAGACCCGAAACCAGGUGAUCUACCCAUGUCCAGGAUGAAGGUAAGGUAAUACUUACUGGAGGUCCGAACCCACGCACGUUGAAAAGUGCGGGGAUGAGGUGUGGGUAGCGGAGAAAUUCCAAUCGAACUUGGAGAUAGCUGGUUCUCUCCGAAAUAGCUUUAGGGCUAGCCUCGAGGUAAAGAGUCAUGGAGGUAGAGCACUGUUUGGACUAGGGGCCCUUCUCGGGUUACCGAAUUCAGAUAAACUCCGAAUGCCAUGUACUUAUACUCGGGAGUCAGACUGCGAGUGAUAAGAUCCGUAGUCGAAAGGGAAACAGCCCAGACCACCAGUUAAGGUCCCCAAAUAUAUGUUAAGUGGAAAAGGAUGUGGGGUUGCUUAGACAACCAGGAUGUUGGCUUAGAAGCAGCCACCAUUGAAAGAGUGCGUAAUAGCUCACUGGUCGAGUGACCCCGCGCCGAAAAUGUACCGGGGCUAAACAUAUUACCGAAACUGUGGAUGAACCUCUUCGGAGGUUCGUGGUAGGAGAGCGUUCUAAGGGCGGUGAAGUCAGACCGGAAGGACUGGUGGAGCGCUUAGAAGUGAGAAUGCCGGUAUGAGUAGCGAAAGAAGGGUGAGAAUCCCUUCCACCGAAUAUCUAAGGUUUCCUGAGGAAGGCUCGUCCGCUCAGGGUUAGUCGGGACCUAAGCCGAGGCCGAUAGGCGUAGGCGAUGGACAACAGGUAGAGAUUCCUGUACCAGUGCUAAUUGUUUAACCGAUGGGGUGACACAGAAGGAUAGGGAAUCGCACGAAUGGAAAUGUGCGUCCAAGCAGUGAGUGUGAGAAGUAGGCAAAUCCGCUUCU